Beta vulgaris subsp. vulgaris (sugar beet) is the source of this 58-nucleotide non-coding RNA. The record is from Rfam. Lineage: Eukaryota; Viridiplantae; Streptophyta; Magnoliopsida; Caryophyllales; Amaranthaceae.
CACAACAAUCCAUUCACUCGGAUCGUCCGGCACGUACCUGCCGGUGAAGGAGCAAUAG